UACCGCGGUUAUACGAGAGGCCCAAGUUGACAAGCUCCGGCGUAAAGCGUGGUUAAGGGACAACAAACACUAAGGCCGAACGCUUACUAGACUGUUAUACGUUUCCGAAAGUAAGAAGCACAUUCACGAAAGUAGCUUUAUAUCACCUGAACCCACGAAAGCCAAGGCA
This 169-nucleotide ribosomal RNA is filed under the name Epinephelus corallicola (coral grouper). Its description in RNAcentral is "partial small subunit ribosomal RNA". Lineage: Eukaryota; Metazoa; Chordata; Actinopteri; Perciformes; Serranidae. The record is from RNAcentral.